RNAcentral lists this ribosomal RNA (102 nucleotides) under Marasmius aff. pallescens NW424. RNAcentral's name for it is "partial large subunit ribosomal RNA". It matches the Rfam family "Eukaryotic large subunit ribosomal RNA", at positions 1 to 102 of the family's 3401-position model. Lineage: Eukaryota; Fungi; Basidiomycota; Agaricomycetes; Agaricales; Marasmiaceae. The record is from RNAcentral.
UGGCCUCAAAUCAGGUAGGACUACCCGCUGAACUUAAGCAUAUCAAUAAGCGGAGGAAAAGAAACUAACAAGGAUUCCCCUAGUAACUGCGAGUGAAGAGGG